UACGGAGGAUGCAAGCGUUAUCCGGAAUUAUUGGGCGUAAAGCGUCCGUAGGUGGCUGGUCAAGUCUGCUGUCAAAGCGUGGAGCUCAACUCCAUAUCGGCGGUGGAAACUGACGAGCUAGAGUGCGAUAGGGGUAGCAGGAAUUCCCAGUGUAGCGGUGAAAUGCGUAGAGAUUGGGAAGAACACCAGCGGCGAAAGCGUGCUACUGGGUCUGCACUGACACUGAGGGACGAAAGCUAGGGGAGCGAAAGGG
Molecule: ribosomal RNA, 253 nt
Filed under: uncultured bacterium
Lineage: Bacteria
Description: partial 16S ribosomal RNA
Rfam family: Bacterial small subunit ribosomal RNA
Source: RNAcentral